Molecule: ribosomal RNA, 253 nt
Filed under: uncultured bacterium
Lineage: Bacteria
Description: partial 16S ribosomal RNA
Rfam family: Bacterial small subunit ribosomal RNA
Source: RNAcentral
UACAUGGGGUGCAAACGUUGCUCGGAAUUAUUGGGCGUAAAGCGCACGUAGGCGGUUUGUUAAGUCGGAUGUGAAAUCCCUCGGCUCAACUGAGGAAGUGCAUCCGAAACUGGCAGGCUUGAGUACUAAAGAGGGUCGCGGAAUUCCCGGUGUAGAGGUGAAAUUCGUAGAUAUCGGGAGGAACACCAAUGGCGAAGGCAGCUCGCUGGGGCGGUACUGACGCUGAGGCGCGAAAGCGUGGGGAGCAAACAGG